GAAACAGUGUGGGCUGAGUUAGUACCUGAGGUGGAGACUCACAGGGAAUACUCAGUGUUGUAGAACAUCAAUCAUUGCAUAUGAUGUGUGCUUUACUCAACACAGUGCUGUAGUAAGUUCCAUGUCUGUCAUCCGUACCAUGCCGAACUGAAGGAUCAUCAGCGCAAGACACUCUGGUAAUAGGAUAUCUGAGAUUUACAAGCCACGAUGGCAGCAUCUGCUUAAGACUGAACAGACUAAUGGAUUUGGAACUUACAGCUUGUGGACAUUGCAGCACAUUUACUGGAGCAUCUGCCAACCCAUGCAAAUAGGUUCAGAGUUUUCUACAAAAAGGUUUAUCCGUCCUCCAUCUGGUAAACCUGUUGAAAAGCACAAGGGUGGUUCAAUAAGUAAAGUAGCAAGACCACUAACGUGUAAAAUGUUCUCUAUUUCAUUCUAAUUUCCCACCAGGCUAGAACACAUAUACAACUGCAUCCCUUCAUGGCCAUUGCACUGUGUUUCAUAUCAGUCAUACUGUCCCAACAUCAGUUGUAAGAUGGUGGGCUGGGGCACAUCAUCAGCUGAAAUUCAUUGCCAGCUUGUCAAUAUGUACGGUGAUUAUGUUGUGGCAUGGAAACAGGCUUGGGUUUGGUGCACUACCUUUGAUAACGGCAACAUAAACGUUCAAGAUCUGGCCAGCCAAGCAGGUCCACCACAGAUGACAAUUUGUGCCACAUUGAAGGUCUGAUUCAGGAGGACAGACGGUUUUGUGUUAGUGAUAUUGCUGUCGAACUGAACAUCUCAGUUGGUACUGUGCACAAAAUUGUUCAUGAGCAAUUGGGGUACAGGAAAAACUUUUCACACUUGGUACCGAAGUAACUCACAGAAGUUCACAAAAACAAUACAAUUGGGUUGUCUCUCGUGCACUUGAUAUGGUACCAUGAGGAGGGAGUGCAGUUUUUGCAGCAGAUGUUACAGACGAUAAAACUUGGGUGCAUCAUGUGACAACGGAGACAAAGCAAGCAACUAUCACAUGGAAACACACAUUAUCCCCCCCCUUCAAAGAAAUUCAGAACUCCAUAAGCAAAGGUCACAGUGACCAUGUUUUGGGACCACAAGGGCAUUCUUCUUGUUGAUUUCCUCACAAAGGUAUGAAUGCUGACUGCUAUUGUUGUGACGCAUUGAGCUGAUUGAGGGUGGCAAUUUGUCUAAAAUGACCUGGGUUGCUGCGAACAGGCAUCAUAUUGCUGCACGUUAAGUCCAGGCAACACUCAGUCAAUUGCAUGCUGUUGUUACUGAGCUAUCACUUGGAGUUACUGGACCAUUCUUCCUAUAGUCCUGAUCUGGCACCAAGUGAUUUCCAUCUCUUUUGACCACUAAAGAAGCACCUGGGUGGAAGCCAAUUCGCAACCUAUGGUAAAGUUCAGCAAGCCGUCAUGUCCUGGCUUCAGGUGCUUGACACUGAUUUCUUCUGGAUAGAUGCAUUGGCGUAUCAUUGGAGCAAAUGCUUAGACAAAUAUGGGGACUACAGUAUAUGGAAAAAUAAUCUGUACAAUGGCCAUACUGUUGAUUAUACGUAUAUGUACGAGAUGAAUGAAUUUGAGAAGAUUGUUACCUUAUUUAUGGUACUACCGUCGUACAUUCUGUCUGAAAAUGACCUUUUUCACUUAUGUACUUGUCCCUGAAUGACAGUAGAUGAACACCCACCACAGAAACUUAUGUGGGGAAUGCCCUUCUCAUCAUGCCGAUUUAUCCUGGAGCUUAGGCACCUGUUUCCUUGGCUUCCUCUUAUUCAUCCUAAAUAAUCCUUAAUUGUCAUGCAAAACCUUGGAACAAGAGUGGCUAUCCUCUGGACCCAAAGGAUGAGGCUGACUAAUGCUUACAAGGUGGACAAAAGGACUGAUCCUUAGGCUGUAGCAG
This is a long non-coding RNA of Pseudophryne corroboree (corroboree frog), 1899 nucleotides long. RefSeq lists it as uncharacterized. NCBI's taxonomy places the organism in Eukaryota, Metazoa, Chordata, Amphibia, Anura, Myobatrachidae. The transcript has 5 exons. The record is from RefSeq and is a predicted model, not a curated record.